Molecule: ribosomal RNA, 919 nt
Filed under: uncultured Cyanophyceae cyanobacterium
Lineage: Bacteria; Bacillati; Cyanobacteriota; Cyanophyceae
Description: bacterial SSU rRNA
Rfam family: Bacterial small subunit ribosomal RNA
Source: RNAcentral
CUGAGACACGGCCCAGACUCCUACGGGAGGCAGCAGUGGGGAAUUUUCCGCAAUGGGCGCAAGCCUGACGGAGCAACGCCGCGUGUGGGAUGAAGGCCUGUGGGUUGUAAACCACUUUUCUCAGGGACGAACACAAUGACGGUACCUGAGGAAUCAGCCUCGGCUAACUCUGUGCCAGCAGCCGCGGUAAGACAGAGGAGGCAAGCGUUAUCCGGAAUUAUUGGGCGUAAAGCGUCCGUAGGUGGUCUAGCAAGUCUGGGGUUAAAGCCCGGAGCCCAACUCCGGAUCGGCCUUGGAAACUGCCAGACUCGAGUAAGGUAGGGGUUGCGGGAAUUCCCGGUGUAGCGGUAAAAUGCGUAGAUAUCGGGAAGAACACCAGCGGCGAAAGCGCGCAACUGGGCCAUUACUGACACUGAGGGACGAAAGCUAGGGGAGCGAAUGGGAUUAGAUACCCCAGUAGUCCUAGCCGUAAACGAUGGUGACUAGAUGUGGCUCGUAUUGACCCGAGCCGUGUCGUAGCUAACGCGAUAAGUCACCCGCCUGGGGAGUACGCACGCAAGUGUGAAACUCAAAGGAAUUGACGGGGGCCCGCACAAGCGGUGGAGCAUGUGGAUUAAUUCGAUGCAACGCGAAGAACCUUACCAGGGCUUGACAUCCUGCGAACCCCGCUGAAAGGUGGGGGUGCCUUCGGGAGCGCAGAGACAGGUGGUGCAUGGCUGUCGUCAGCUCGUGUCGUGAGAUGUUGGGUUAAGUCCCGCAACGAGCGCAACCCGCGUCCUUAGUUGCCAGCAUUUAGUUGGGCACUCUGGGGAGACUGCCGGUGACAAGCCGGAGGAAGGUGCGGAUGACGUCAAGUCAGCAUGCCCCUUACGCCCUGGGCGUCACACGUGCUACAAUGGCCAGCACAAAGGGUAGCCAG